UUUAGGGCUAUAUAAAUAAACAUUGAUUGAUUGAUUGAUUGAAAAAAUGGCAGAAGACCGGAACUCGAGAGUGAUUUUGGCUUGUGUGUGUCUUGUUUGCUCCGGAGUGACAUGUGGUCUGUCUGCACGGCCAACUCAAUUCAACCUGCACUUCUGAUAAUGGGUAAAUAAAUUUGUUGUACUAAACUACUUUUGUUGCCUGUUUAAGCUUCGGACAAUCCACUACACAAAUUGGCGUCACGAACAGGAUGGUUUAGAAGCUACAGGUCGACAGCCGCUCCCGCUCUCUCUGUCAGUCAGACAGUGUGCUGCACGCGCGCAUAACAAGUCACAAGAUCAGCACUUCUCAGGACCAGCAGCUUCCUAGGAAGGUGGAAAGACCAUGAGACCAAAAUGGUAAGUUUGCAAAAUGUAGAAUUUGUGUGCCAGUUCCUCUGUGCAGAUUUGAGGAUGAAAACAGCCACUCCAGAUUCCCUUGCACUCGCUAAGAGGGGCACGGUCAAAGCCGAUCCAGGACCAACACCCGAUACCUGACUGGAAGGAACCGAGAGGAGAGACAACACCUUGCCAGCGAUGACGAGAACAACUAAGGUUGCCAGCCAAUGGGUCCACCGGGACUCCAGCAGCUGUGGAAAGAAGUGUCGGGAGUGCCGAAGCAGCGAGGAGGCCUGAAGCAAGCCGAGGACCUGGACCAAAGCCCCAUGCCCCAUACUCUGCCCCAGCCUUCCCCAAAGCCCCCACAGCUUUUUCGGCCAGCAUGCACAUGCCAUUGCACAGUCUGCCCAAUGGACUGAACCACACCCCAAGAAGAGACAGAGACAGACUGUUUGAGUGGAUCUCUUUCUUCACCAGGGCAGCCGAAAGCCCAACGAGGUGUCGGCAGGCCAUCAGCCUGAGGCACCACCGAGCCAUCUAUACGAGCACUAAUCGAACAUGGACUCAUACGAAAUUCAGUUGUGUGUUCAAAAUCAAUUGAUAAUUAACAAUAUUGGUAACUACAUUCAUUGCAAAAGCCGGGAAAAAUAUUUUUGCAAAUGUCUUACAGUCAUAAGUCUAUAUACAUUCAUCUAUUUAUGUUCAAUGAUGUUCAUGAUCAAAGUAUGUGUUAUUCCUUUACUAAAUCAAAGGGUAGGCCACUAAUUGUGUUCUGUGAGAUGGUUUUACUGCAGGCUGGUAACAGCGAUCGCUCUGAAGGAGGGUCAUAGACGGAAUUUUUGCCUCGUAUAAAAACAUUGAGGUUUUUGCCUCUAUCUGCGGUAGAGAUUUAAUUUAGUGGUCUAUAUCAGAAAUUGUUUUGGUCCAGGGUCUUAAGACCCUGAAAGGCGGGUAUGUAGUAGAAUUUCUGACCUUUGACCUAUAGUUCAUGUCUGUCAAAAAUGUAUGCUCAUUUUGAUUUCUCUUCCUCUUCUGUGGGACAAAAGUGAAUUUUAAGUCGUGCCAACCUGUCUACAGAAUGUGUUGACUGUCUAAAGGAUUCGAGUUGUUAUGGAACAGAUAGGGAAAAGAUAGAAGACUGACGCAUUAGAUAACAAACAAUGACGCACAACUGCUGGUGUUGGUCCAAUGUGUUCCAUCAAGUCCAGAGUCAAUGCAGCUGUGUACCAAGAGAUUUUAGAGCACUACAUGCUGUUGAAAAGCUCUAUGGAGAUGAUGAUUUCAUUUUCCAGCAUGAUCCAGCAGUGCCAAAACCACCAGUAACUGGUGUACUGACCAUGGCAUUACUGUCCUCGAUUGGCCUGCCAACUCCCCUGACCUGAACCCCAUAGAGAAUUUGUGGGGUAUUGUGAAGAAGAAGCUGAAAGACACCAGACCCAAUUAUUCAAAUGAGCUAAAGGCCGCUAUUGAAGCAUCCUGGGCAUCCAUAACACCUCAGCAAUGCCACAGGCUGAUUGCCUCCAUGCCACGCCGCAUUGAUGCAGUAAUCCAUGCAAAAGGAUUCCCAACCAAGUACUGAGUGCAUUAAUUGACAUUUUCAAAUGUUUGAUUUUGUUUUGCUGUUAUAAAUCUUUAUUUUUUACUUGGUCUGAGGAAAUAUUCUAAUUUUUUGAGAUGGGAUUUUUGAGUUUUCUUAAGCUGUAUGCCAUAAUCAGCAAUAUUAAAAUAAUAAAAGGCUUGCAAUAUUUCA
This is a long non-coding RNA of Entelurus aequoreus (snake pipefish), 2125 nucleotides long. RefSeq lists it as uncharacterized. Lineage: Eukaryota; Metazoa; Chordata; Actinopteri; Syngnathiformes; Syngnathidae. The record is from RefSeq and is a predicted model, not a curated record. The transcript has 2 exons.